Molecule: non-coding RNA, 1088 nt
Organism: Musa acuminata subsp. malaccensis (wild Malaysian banana)
Lineage: Eukaryota; Viridiplantae; Streptophyta; Magnoliopsida; Zingiberales; Musaceae
Source: RefSeq, a predicted model, not a curated record
AUAUUCAUACUGGCUGUAGGGUCACUUUAAGGUUGUACUCAUCAGGUCGGCCCAUGUGUACAAUUUCACAUAUGUACAUUCAUCAAGCAAGGCUCAGCUUGGCUCAAGCUCGACAUCCUCAUCAUUACAUGCCAUGAAGUUGUCAAGCAGGGUCUCUCGGUGGAGUGCCAAGACCAAAGUUGGAGAAGAUGCUCAUGAAGCCCAGAAUUAGAAGGGAUGUGGAUAAUUUAUGGGAUGUGAGAAAGAACAAUUGUGAAGAAUAAAGUUGUCGGAUUAUCGAUAGGAUGGACAUCUAAUGUAAAGCUAAAGGGAAGCUGCUUAAUUGACUCAUCCUGUUUGGACCAUUCGACUUGGAAGGUUUUGGUGCAGUAUUUUUGUGACUGGUUUAUGGAAAUGUCAUAGAAGAGAAACUUUUUCUGUAAGCAAUGCAGACCAUCAGUAUCAGCACAAAGAGAUCUUUCAGUUCAAGUGGCCCAAGGUUGUCACUGCGGCUUCCUCCUAUAUACUACAGUGUGAGUUAAAAGAACAAGGCCAUUGCGAUCUUUCUCAAUCAGACUAGGAGAAUCACCUUAUUGUAUGUCUAUGAUGUCACCCUCGAUUCACGUGAGAAGAGCCAGGGUGGUGGUACAAUUCCGUGAAGCAGCCUGUGCCUGUAAUAUAUCGACUGUGUCUAUGAUGUCGCCUAAGGAUCAUGUAGAGGCAGGUCUCCUGAUACAUUUAUGUGAGACAGGGACUGCUUCCCUGUAGAGCAUGUAGAAGCAGAUCCUCUAGUCUAACCCCUGGCUUCUGUGAAUGCCUGUGCCAUUGUUCUGUCGGAGCAGCCUAUAUCCAGAGUGUACUUUCUACCAUCUCUCUCCAUUUCUUAAUCUCUGUACUGUCGCUCACUUCUACUGCUUACAUUCAUCUACAGGUUGGAUUCAAUCAGCAUGGAAGAUUAAUUGAUUGAAGCCUUCCACCCCAUAAUAUGAGGUGAGUUUUCUUUAGCUUCUUCAAUACCUUCUUGUACUAAUUCUAAGUUUAUCUUCCUGUUUACUGCUGCCCAUUGCAUUGUCCCUUCUGUUGAGUGGGGACAUCCUUUAUGGAGGAUG